Molecule: non-coding RNA, 74 nt
Organism: Phrynosoma platyrhinos (Desert horned lizard)
Lineage: Eukaryota; Metazoa; Chordata; Lepidosauria; Squamata; Phrynosomatidae
Source: the annotation of a GenBank genome assembly
GUGAGUGUGGUGUAGUGGUUUGAGCACUGGACUAUGACUCUGGAGACCAGGGUUCAAAUUCCCACUCAGCCACA